RNAcentral lists this ribosomal RNA (472 nucleotides) under uncultured Thiobacillus sp. Its description in RNAcentral is "bacterial SSU rRNA". It matches the Rfam family "Bacterial small subunit ribosomal RNA", at positions 906 to 1382 of the family's 1533-position model. Lineage: Bacteria; Pseudomonadati; Pseudomonadota; Betaproteobacteria; Nitrosomonadales; Thiobacillaceae. The record is from RNAcentral.
GGAAUUGACGGGACCGCACAAGCGGUGGAUUGAUGUGGACUUAAUUCGAUGCAACGCGAAGAACCUUACCUACCCUUGACAUGUCCGGAACUUGCCAGAGGUGGCUUGGUGCCCGAAAGGGAAUCGGAACACAGGUGCUGCAUGGCUGUCGUCAGCUCGUGUCGUGAGAUGUUGGGUUAAGUCCCGCAACGAGCGCAACCCUUAUCAUUAGUUGCUACGCAAGGGCACUCUAAUGAGACUGCCGGUGACAAACCGGAGGAAGGUGGGGAUGACGUCAAGUCCUCAUGGCCCUUAUGGGUAGGGCUUCACACGUCAUACAAUGGUCGGUACAGAGGGUUGCCAAGCCGCGAGGCGGAGCCAAUCCCACAAAGCCGAUCGUAGUCCGGAUUGUUCUCUGCAACUCGAGAGCAUGAAGUCGGAAUCGCUAGUAAUCGCAGGCCAGCAUACUGCGGUGAAUACGUUCCCGGGUCUU